UUUUUUUUAAUAGACUAUUUGGUUGAACAUUAAACUGCAAGUGUUUAAAAAGAAAGAAAUGAUUGAAAUGUUAACACAAAACAAUUAAAUAUAUUAGUCGUUAUAAAAAAAAAUAUAUAUUUAAAGUUUUUUUUUAUUUUUUAAACAAUUUUAUAUUAAAACAUUGACACGCCUUCUCAGUUUGCAAGUUAAGAGCUCCGAUUAGUAAGUGAAAUACAAAUAAAGUUAACGAACAUAAUAAAUUAAAUCCAUUUAAAUCGACUUGCUGGCCAAUUAAAAACCAGUGUACUUGGGUAAUGAAAUCGAAAUGAUUUCGAGACCAUCGAUCCAUUAAAUAAUGUUAAUCCCCUAUAACUAUCGAUCAACAUUUUACAAGCAAAAGCCAAAGACCUAUUUUCAAGGAAGAGGCCUUAAAAACGUCUGAUCUGAAUUACAGAUGCUGUGAUCGAUUCAGAGAUGAUGAGGAUAGGUCCAUAAUUGACCCCAACACGCAUAUAACUCCUCUUAUGGUUAUAGAAGUUGGACAAAAACCGUAUGAUAUGUCGAAUUUCAACAUUGUGGCUGAUGAUGGUGAGGCA
Lucilia sericata (common green bottle fly) is the source of this 578-nucleotide long non-coding RNA. RefSeq lists it as uncharacterized. NCBI's taxonomy places the organism in Eukaryota, Metazoa, Arthropoda, Insecta, Diptera, Calliphoridae. The transcript has 3 exons. The record is from RefSeq and is a predicted model, not a curated record.